Molecule: ribosomal RNA, 475 nt
Filed under: uncultured bacterium
Lineage: Bacteria
Description: bacterial SSU rRNA
Rfam family: Bacterial small subunit ribosomal RNA
Source: RNAcentral
AUUACUCCUACGGGAGGCAGCAGUGGGGAAUUUUGCGCAAUGGGCGAAAGCCUGACGCAGCAACGCCGCGUGAGUGAUGAAGGCUUUCGGGUCGUAAAGCUCUGUCAAGGGGAAAGAAGUGUAGAGUGGUUAAUACCCGCUUUACUUGACGGUACCCCUGAAGGAAGCACCGGCUAACUCCGUGCCAGCAGCCGCGGUAAUACGGGGGGUGCAAGCGUUGUUCGGAUUUAUUGGGCGUAAAGCGCGUGUAGGCGGUUUGUUAAGUCUGAUGUGAAAGCCCUGGGCUCAACCCAGGAAGUGCAUUGGAUACUGGCAGACUUGAAUACGGGAGAGGGUAGUGGAAUUCCUGGUGUAGGAGUGAAAUCCGUAGAUAUCAGGAGGAACACCGGUGGCGAAGGCGGCUGCCUGGACCGAUAUUGACGCUGAGACGCGAAAGCGUGGGUAGCAAACAGGAUUAGAUACCCUGGUAGUCAAU